Molecule: non-coding RNA, 75 nt
Organism: Paramuricea clavata
Lineage: Eukaryota; Metazoa; Cnidaria; Anthozoa; Malacalcyonacea; Plexauridae
Source: the annotation of a GenBank genome assembly
UGUAAUGUAGUUCAGUUCGUUAGAGCGCUGCCCCGAAAUGGCAGGGUCGCAUGCAGGUUCGAUUUCUGCGUAUAG